This 481-nucleotide ribosomal RNA is filed under the name uncultured bacterium. RNAcentral's name for it is "partial 16S ribosomal RNA". It matches the Rfam family "Bacterial small subunit ribosomal RNA", at positions 30 to 506 of the family's 1533-position model. The record is from RNAcentral.
AUUGAACGCUGGCGGCAUGCUUUACACAUGCAAGUCGAACGGUAACAGGCCGCAAGGUGCUGACGAGUGGCGAACGGGUGAGUAAUGCAUCGGAACGUGCCCAGUCGUGGGGGAUAACUACUCGAAAGAGUAGCUAAUACCGCAUACGAUCUAUGGAUGAAAGCGGGGGACCGUAAGGCCUCGCGCGAUUGGAGCGGCCGAUGUCAGAUUAGGUAGUUGGUGGGGUAAAGGCUCACCAAGCCAACGAUCUGUAGCUGGUCUGAGAGGACGACCAGCCACACUGGGACUGAGACACGGCCCAGACUCCUACGGGAGGCAGCAGUGGGGAAUUUUGGACAAUGGGCGCAAGCCUGAUCCAGCAAUGCCGCGUGCAGGAAGAAGGCCUUCGGGUUGUAAACUGCUUUUGUACGGAACGAAACGGCUCUGGUUAAUACCCGGGGCUAAUGGCGGUACCGUAAGAAUAAGCACCGGCUAACUACGU